GGCACUUUGGCCGAGUGGUCUAAGGCGCCGUGUUCAGGCUUAGAUUCGCUCUCGCAGCGCAUCUUCCUCUUCGCGGUCUAGUAAUAGGCGAGGGUUCGAAUCCCUCAGGUGUCA
This is a transfer RNA of Claviceps purpurea 20.1, 114 nucleotides long. It matches the Rfam family "tRNA". Rfam says of the family: Transfer RNA (tRNA) molecules are approximately 80 nucleotides in length. Their secondary structure includes four short double-helical elements and three loops (D, anti-codon, and T loops). Further hydrogen bonds mediate the characteristic L-shaped molecular structure. tRNAs have two regions of fundamental functional importance: the anti-codon, which is responsible for specific mRNA codon recognition, and the 3' end, to which the tRNAs corresponding amino acid is attached (by aminoacyl-tRNA synthetases). tRNAs cope with the degeneracy of the genetic code in two manners: having more than one tRNA (with a specific anti-codon) for a particular amino acid; and 'wobble' base-pairing, i.e. permitting non-standard base-pairing at the 3rd anti-codon position. NCBI's taxonomy places the organism in Eukaryota, Fungi, Ascomycota, Sordariomycetes, Hypocreales, Clavicipitaceae. The record is from Rfam.